CGACACUACGAGAGUUGAGCUUCAACCACCACUUGCCGUGAUGUCUGUCGACGUGGACUCGCAUUUAGGCCAG
RNAcentral lists this ribosomal RNA (73 nucleotides) under Alkekengi officinarum var. franchetii. RNAcentral's name for it is "partial 26S ribosomal RNA". The record is from RNAcentral. Lineage: Eukaryota; Viridiplantae; Streptophyta; Magnoliopsida; Solanales; Solanaceae.